ACUAAGCGUACACGGUGGAUGCCCUGGCAGUCAGAGGCGAUGAAGGACGUGCUAAUCUGCGAUAAGCGUCGGUGAGGUGAUAUGAACCGUUAUAACCGGCGAUUUCCGAAUGGGGAAACCCAGUGUGUUUCGACACACUAUCAUUAACUGAAUCCAUAGGUUAAUGAGGCGAACCGGGGGAACUGAAACAUCUAAGUACCCCGAGGAAAAGAAAUCAACCGAGAUUCCCCCAGUAGCGGCGAGCGAACGGGGAGGAGCCCAGAGCCUGAAUCAGUGUGUGUGUUAGUGGAAGCGUCUGGAAAGGCGCGCGAUACAGGGUGACAGCCCCGUACACAAAAAUGCACAUAUUGUGAGCUCGAUGAGUAGGGCGGGACACGUGGUAUCCUGUCUGAAUAUGGGGGGACCAUCCUCCAAGGCUAAAUACUCCUGACUGACCGAUAGUGAACCAGUACCGUGAGGGAAAGGCGAAAAGAACCCCGGCGAGGGGAGUGAAAAAGAACCUGAAACCGUGUACGUACAAGCAGUGGGAGCCUCUUUAUGGGGUGACUGCGUACCUUUUGUAUAAUGGGUCAGCGACUUAUAUUCUGUAGCAAGGUUAACCGAAUAGGGGAGCCGAAGGGAAACCGAGUCUUAACUGGGCGUUAAGUUGCAGGGUAUAGACCCGAAACCCGGUGAUCUAGCCAUGGGCAGGUUGAAGGUUGGGUAACACUAACUGGAGGACCGAACCGACUAAUGUUGAAAAAUUAGCGGAUGACUUGUGGCUGGGGGUGAAAGGCCAAUCAAACCGGGAGAUAGCUGGUUCUCCCCGAAAGCUAUUUAGGUAGCGCCUCGUGAAUUCAUCUCCGGGGGUAGAGCACUGUUUCGGCAAGGGGGUCAUCCCGACUUACCAACCCGAUGCAAACUGCGAAUACCGGAGAAUGUUAUCACGGGAGACACACGGCGGGUGCUAACGUCCGUCGUGAAGAGGGAAACAACCCAGACCGCCAGCUAAGGUCCCAAAGUCAUGGUUAAGUGGGAAACGAUGUGGGAAGGCCCAGACAGCCAGGAUGUUGGCUUAGAAGCAGCCAUCAUUUAAAGAAAGCGUAAUAGCUCACUGGUCGAGUCGGCCUGCGCGGAAGAUGUAACGGGGCUAAACCAUGCACCGAAGCUGCGGCAGCGACACUAUGUGUUGUUGGGUAGGGGAGCGUUCUGUAAGCCUGUGAAGGUGGCCUGUGAGGGUUGCUGGAGGUAUCAGAAGUGCGAAUGCUGACAUAAGUAACGAUAAAGCGGGUGAAAAGCCCGCUCGCCGGAAGACCAAGGGUUCCUGUCCAACGUUAAUCGGGGCAGGGUGAGUCGACCCCUAAGGCGAGGCCGAAAGGCGUAGUCGAUGGGAAACAGGUUAAUAUUCCUGUACUUGGUGUUACUGCGAAGGGGGGACGGAGAAGGCUAUGUUGGCCGGGCGACGGUUGUCCCGGUUUAAGCGUGUAGGCUGGUUUUCCAGGCAAAUCCGGAAAACCAAGGCUGAGGCGUGAUGACGAGGCACUACGGUGCUGAAGCGACAAAUGCCCUGCUUCCAGGAAAAGCCUCUAAGCAUCAGGUAACAUCAAAUCGUACCCCAAACCGACACAGGUGGUCAGGUAGAGAAUACCAAGGCGCUUGAGAGAACUCGGGUGAAGGAACUAGGCAAAAUGGUGCCGUAACUUCGGGAGAAGGCACGCUGAUAUGUAGGUGAAGCGACUUGCUCGUGGAGCUGAAAUCAGUCGAAGAUACCAGCUGGCUGCAACUGUUUAUUAAAAACACAGCACUGUGCAAACACGAAAGUGGACGUAUACGGUGUGACGCCUGCCCGGUGCCGGAAGGUUAAUUGAUGGGGUUAGCGGUAACGCGAAGCUCUUGAUCGAAGCCCCGGUAAACGGCGGCCGUAACUAUAACGGUCCUAAGGUAGCGAAAUUCCUUGUCGGGUAAGUUCCGACCUGCACGAAUGGCGUAAUGAUGGCCAGGCUGUCUCCACCCGAGACUCAGUGAAAUUGAACUCGCUGUGAAGAUGCAGUGUACCCGCGGCAAGACGGAAAGACCCCGUGAACCUUUACUAUAGCUUGACACUGAACAUUGAGCCUUGAUGUGUAGGAUAGGUGGGAGGCUUUGAAGUGUGGACGCCAGUCUGCAUGGAGCCGACCUUGAAAUACCACCCUUUAAUGUUUGAUGUUCUAACGUUGGCCCGUAAUCCGGGUUGCGGACAGUGUCUGGUGGGUAGUUUGACUGGGGCGGUCUCCUCCUAAAGAGUAACGGAGGAGCACGAAGGUUGGCUAAUCCUGGUCGGACAUCAGGAGGUUAGUGCAAUGGCAUAAGCCAGCUUGACUGCGAGCGUGACGGCGCGAGCAGGUGCGAAAGCAGGUCAUAGUGAUCCGGUGGUUCUGAAUGGAAGGGCCAUCGCUCAACGGAUAAAAGGUACUCCGGGGAUAACAGGCUGAUACCGCCCAAGAGUUCAUAUCGACGGCGGUGUUUGGCACCUCGAUGUCGGCUCAUCACAUCCUGGGGCUGAAGUAGGUCCCAAGGGUAUGGCUGUUCGCCAUUUAAAGUGGUACGCGAGCUGGGUUUAGAACGUCGUGAGACAGUUCGGUCCCUAUCUGCCGUGGGCGCUGGAGAACUGAGGGGGGCUGCUCCUAGUACGAGAGGACCGGAGUGGACGCAUCACUGGUGUUCGGGUUGUCAUGCCAAUGGCACUGCCCGGUAGCUAAAUGCGGAAGAGAUAAGUGCUGAAAGCAUCUAAGCACGAAACUUGCCCCGAGAUGAGUUCUCCCUGACUCCUUGAGAGUCCUGAAGGAACGUUGAAGACGACGACGUUGAUAGGCCGGGUGUGUAAGCGCAGCGAUGCGUUGAGCUAACCGGUACUAAUGAACCGUGAGGCUUAACC
This 2893-nucleotide ribosomal RNA is filed under the name Escherichia coli. RNAcentral describes it as "bacterial LSU rRNA". It matches the Rfam family "Bacterial large subunit ribosomal RNA". Lineage: Bacteria; Pseudomonadati; Pseudomonadota; Gammaproteobacteria; Enterobacterales; Enterobacteriaceae. The record is from RNAcentral. RNAcentral also lists the same sequence under 2 other names.